This 1376-nucleotide ribosomal RNA is filed under the name uncultured bacterium. RNAcentral describes it as "bacterial SSU rRNA". It matches the Rfam family "Bacterial small subunit ribosomal RNA". The record is from RNAcentral.
AGAGUUUGAUCCUGGCUCAGAGUGAACGCUGGCGGCGUGCCUAACACAUGCAAGUCGAACGAUGACGGAGGAGCUUGCUCUUCCUGAUUAGUGGCGCACGGGUGAGUAAUGCAUAGAUAAUGUGCCCCUUAGUUCGGGAUAGCCACUGGAAACGGUGAUUAAUACCGGAUACUCCUUCUUGCCUCAAGGUAAGUCGGGAAAGUUUUUCGCUAAGGGAUCAGUCUAUGUUCCAUCAGGUAGUUGGUGAGGUAAUGGCUCACCAAGCCUAUGACGGAUAUCUGGUUUGAGAGGAUGAUCAGACACACUGGAACUGAGACACGGUCCAGACUCCUACGGGAGGCAGCAGUGAGGAAUAUUGCACAAUGGAGGAAACUCUGAUGCAGCAACGCCGCGUGGAGGAUGACGCAUUUCGGUGUGUAGACUCCUUUUAUUAGGGAAGAUUAUGACGGUACCUAAUGAAUAAGCACCGGCUAACUCCGUGCCAGCAGCCGCGGUAAUACGGAGGGUGCAAGCGUUACUCGGAAUCACUGGGCGUAAAGGGUGCGUAGCCUGGCUUUUAAGUCAGAUGUGAAAUCCAAUGGCUUAACCAUUGAGCUGCAUUUGAAACUGAAAGCCUAGAGUUCAGAAAGGAGCAGAUGGAAUUAGUGGUGUAGGGGUAAAAUCCGUAGAUAUCACUAGGAAUAUCAAAAGCGAAGGCGAUCUGCUGGGAUGAUACUGACGCUGAGGCACGAAAGCGUGGGGAGCAAACAGGAUUAGAUACCCUGGUAGUCCACGCCCUAAACGAUGAAUGCUAGUCGUCGGGAAGCUCGUCUUUUCGGUGACGCACUUAACAGAUUAAGCAUUCCGCCUGGGGAGUACGGUCGCAAGAUUAAAACUCAAAGGAAUAGACGGGGACCCGCACAAGUGGUGGAGCAUGUGGUUUAAUUCGAAGAUACACGAAGAACCUUACCUGGCCUUGACAUCCCAAGAACUUUCCAGAGAUGGAUUGGUGCUAGCUUGCUAGAACUUGGUGACAGGUGCUGCACGGCUGUCGUCAGCUCGUGUCGUGAGAUGUUGGGUUAAGUCCCGCAACGAGCGCAACCCUCGUCAUUAGUUGCUAACAGUUCGGCUGAGCACUCUAAUGAGACUGCCUCCGUAAGGAGGAGGAAGGUGAGGACGACGUCAAGUCAUCAUGGCCCUUACGGCCAGGGCUACACACGUGCUACAAUGGGGCGUACAGAGAGCUGCAAUACCGCGAGGUGGAGCCAAUCUCUUAAAGCGUCUCUCAGUUCGGAUUGUUCUCUGCAACUCGAGAACAUGAAGCUGGAAUCGCUAGUAAUCGCAGAUCAGCUAUGCUGCGGUGAAUACGUUCCCGGGUCUUGUACACACCGCCCGUC